CUCAACUCUGCAAACACUCCUGUAACCUUUGCGGUUUGACCCUGACUAACUGCCUACGUGGAACUCAACACCUAGGUGGCCACUCAGGCCAAAACCAGGAGAUGGAAGUAGAGAUGUGCCCCGGAAAUCCCAGUUCUACUACUCACCAGCGGGUCCUGGGCCACAAGGAACUGAACCUGCAGCAGCCAUGUGAGCUUGGAAGAGGAUCCUUCCCCCUUCGUGCUUUCGGAUGAGACCUCAGUUCUGAUGACACAGCGCCGACAGCCUCAGCAGAGACCUUGAAGCAGAGCCCCCGGCUAAGUCAUGCCUGGAUUCCUGACCCACAGAGACUGCGAGAUAAUAAAUGUGUGUUCUCUAACCACCA
This 364-nucleotide long non-coding RNA is filed under the name Equus asinus (donkey). RNAcentral describes it as "lncRNA (ENSEASG00005028696.1)". The record is from RNAcentral. Lineage: Eukaryota; Metazoa; Chordata; Mammalia; Perissodactyla; Equidae.